GAUGAAGAACGCAGCGAAAUGCGAUAAGUAAUGUGAAUUGCAGAAUUCCGUGAAUCAUCGAAUCUUUGAACGCACAUUGCGCCCCCUGGUAUUCCGGGGGGCAUGCCUGUCCGAGCGUCAUUGCAACCCUCAAGCGCGGCUUGUGUGUUGGGCCCUCGUCCCCCGUGGACGUGCCCGAAAUGCAGUGGCGGCGUCGUGUUCCGGUGCCCGAGCGUAUGGGGCUUUGUCACCCGCUCUUGUAGGCCCGGCCGGCGCUUGCCGACACAUCAAUCUUUUUUCCAGGUUGACCUCGGAUCAGGUAGGGAUACCCGCUGAACUUAAGCAUAUCAAUAAGCGGAGGA
Molecule: unclassified non-coding RNA, 341 nt
Filed under: soil metagenome
Description: partial contains 5.8S ribosomal RNA, internal transcribed spacer 2, and large subunit ribosomal RNA
Rfam family: 5.8S ribosomal RNA (bases 1-120)
Source: RNAcentral